Molecule: ribosomal RNA, 443 nt
Filed under: uncultured bacterium
Lineage: Bacteria
Description: bacterial SSU rRNA
Rfam family: Bacterial small subunit ribosomal RNA
Source: RNAcentral
UCCUACGGGGGGCAGCAGUGGGGAAUAUUGGACAAUGGGCGCAAGCCUGAUCCAGCAAUGCCGCGUGAGUGAUGAAGGCCUUAGGGUUGUAAAGCUCUUUUACCCGGGAUGAUAAUGACAGUACCGGGAGAAUAAGCCCCGGCUAACUCCGUGCCAGCAGCCGCGGUAAUACGGAGGGGGCUAGCGUUGUUCGGAAUUACUGGGCGUAAAGCGCACGUAGGCGGCUUUGUAAGUUAGAGGUGAAAGCCCAGGGCUUAACCCUGGAAUUGCCUUUAAGACUGCAUCGCUAGAAUCGUGGAGAGGUGAGUGGAAUUCCGAGUGUAGAGGUGAAAUUCGUAGAUAUUCGGAAGAACACCAGUGGCGAAGGCGACUCACUGGACACGUAUUGACGCUGAGGUGCGAAAGCGUGGGGAGCAAACAGGAUUAGAUACCCGCGUAGUCCG